GACGAACGCUGGCGGCGUGCUUAACACAUGCAAGUCGAACGGACAGGCGCGGCGUUUGUGGGGUUCUCGAGUGGGGAACGGGUGAGUAAAACAUGAGUAUCCUGCACUUGUCUUAGGGGUAAAUUCUGGGGACAGGGGCGAUUACAGGAGAGGAUCUCUUGCUGCAUGUGGUGGGUUGGAGAGAUUCGGCGUUUGGGGAUGGACUAGCGGCUUAUCAGCUUCUUGGUGAGGUAGGGGCGUACCAGGCCUUUGACGGGUAGCCGGCCUGAGAGGGUGACCGGCCACAUUGGGACUGCGGUACGGCCCAGACUGCUACGGGAGGCAGAAGUGGGGAAUAUUGCACAGUGGGCGGGAGCGUGAUGCAGCAACGCCGCGUGCGUGAUGCCGGCCUUCGGGUUGUAAACAGCUGUCUCAUGUGACGAAGCGUGCGUGACGGUACCGGGUAAAGAAGCACCGGCUAACUACGUG
This 468-nucleotide ribosomal RNA is filed under the name uncultured bacterium. RNAcentral's name for it is "partial 16S ribosomal RNA". It matches the Rfam family "Bacterial small subunit ribosomal RNA", at positions 28 to 507 of the family's 1533-position model. The record is from RNAcentral.